CCUACGGGAGGCUGCAGUGGGGAAUAUUGGACAAUGGGCGAAAGCCUGAUCCAGCCAUGCCGCGUGUGUGAAGAAGGCCUUCGGGUUGUAAAGCACUUUCAGUGGGGAAGAAAGCCUUGGGGCUAAUACCCUCGAGGAAGGACAUCACCCACAGAAGAAGCACCGGCUAACUCCGUGCCAGCAGCCGCGGUAAUACGGAGGGUGCGAGCGUUAAUCGGAAUUACUGGGCGUAAAGCGCGCGUAGGCGGUCUGAUAAGCCGGUUGUGAAAGCCCCGGGCUCAACCUGGGAACGGCAUCCGGAACUGUCAGGCUAGAGUGCAGGAGAGGAAGGUAGAAUUCCCGGUGUAGCGGUGAAAUGCGUAGAGAUCGGGAGGAAUACCAGUGGCGAAGGCGGCCUUCUGGACUGACACUGACGCUGAGGGGCGAAAGCGUGGGUAGCAAACAGGAUUAGAUACCCGAGUAGUC
Molecule: ribosomal RNA, 465 nt
Filed under: Vreelandella stevensii
Lineage: Bacteria; Pseudomonadati; Pseudomonadota; Gammaproteobacteria; Oceanospirillales; Halomonadaceae
Description: partial 16S ribosomal RNA
Rfam family: Bacterial small subunit ribosomal RNA
Source: RNAcentral